This 484-nucleotide ribosomal RNA is filed under the name uncultured bacterium. Its description in RNAcentral is "bacterial SSU rRNA". It matches the Rfam family "Bacterial small subunit ribosomal RNA", at positions 821 to 1302 of the family's 1533-position model. The record is from RNAcentral.
UGUUGGGGGGUUUCCGCCCCUCAGUGCUGCAGGCUAACGCAUUAAGCACUCCGCCUGGGGAGUACGCACGCAAGUGUGAAACUCAAAGGAAUUGACGGGGGCCCGCACAAGCGGUGGAGCAUGUGGUUUAAUUCGAAGCAACGCGAAGAACCUUACCAGGUCUUGACAUCCCAUUGACCACUAUGGAGACAUAGUUUUCCCUUCGGGGACAACGGUGACAGGUGGUGCAUGGUUGUCGUCAGCUCGUGUCGUGAGAUGUUGGGUUAAGUCCCGCAACGAGCGCAACCCUUGUUCUUAGUUGCCAUCAUUUAGUUGGGCACUCUAAGGAGACUGCCGGUGACAAACCGGAGGAAGGUGGGGAUGACGUCAAAUCAUCAUGCCCCUUAUGACCUGGGCUACACACGUGCUACAAUGGACAAUACAAACGGUUGCCAACCGGCGAGGGGGAGCUAAUCCGAUAAAAUUGUUCUCAGUUCGGAUUGUA